RNAcentral lists this ribosomal RNA (245 nucleotides) under Durinskia baltica. Its description in RNAcentral is "partial Bacterial large subunit ribosomal RNA". It matches the Rfam family "Bacterial large subunit ribosomal RNA", at positions 2308 to 2552 of the family's 2925-position model. The record is from RNAcentral. Lineage: Eukaryota; Dinophyceae; Peridiniales; Kryptoperidiniaceae.
GCCCAAAGGUUCCCUCAGCCUGGUUGGCAAUCAGGUGUUGAGUGUAAGUGCACAAGGGAGCUUGACUGUGAGACUGACGGGUCGAGCAGGGACGAAAGUCGGGACUAGUGAUCCGGCACCACCUUGUGGAAGGGGUGUCGCUCAACGGAUAAAAGGUACCCCGGGGAUAACAGGCUGAUCUUGCCCAAGAGUCCAUAUCGACGGCAUGGUUUGGCACCUCGAUGUCGGCUCGUCGCAUCCUGGGG